UGGGACAAACAAAAUAGAAUCAUGAUGAAGAAAGAAAUCUGAGACUACAAUCACAAGAGAAUACAAAUAAAUAUUAUAACCACUACAAUGUAGCAGUUCAACAGAAGCACAAAAGAAGUUAUAAGAUUCAGGGAGCUCAUGAGGCUUGAGAGCAGAAAGAGCAAAGAAGUAAUUAUAAAUAAAGAAGAAAAAUGUUACUGAAGGCAUAAAAUUCAAAAUUCUAUGGGAAAACAAAGAUGUAAUAACUAACCGCAAACUGCUUAAAGCUAAGGGAUUGAUCACUUCACAGAACAGGUGGUACUUAAGCAGUAACUCAAAGCACAAAUAAAGAAAAACUAUCAACAGACACACCGCUCCAAUGGGAGACCUGUGGUCCUACCUUCAGGUGGUAAACUGUACAACUGUGCCACAGGUCCAGUAACAGGAAUAACUGGCAACUGGAAAUGGAAAGAACUCUUAAUCGUUGGGAGUGGCAGGCGAUUUUUGGGGAAACACUUCCUCAUUAUAAGACUGGAGGUGUUGACAAGAGGAUCAAGAGUCCUGACUGCCAAACAUUCCUGUUUAAAAAAAAAAAAAAGACAAUAUAUCUUUGUGCUGGGGAUUGAACCCAGGGCCUAGUGCAUGCUAGGUAAGCACUCUACCACUAAGCUAAAUCACCAGCCCUCUAGUCUCUUCUUAAUCUCAAUUUCACCCACAAAAUGACCUCUGAUCUAUGGCCUGGACAUGAAGAAGAUAAUGAUUUGAGUUGCCAGAAAGAAUUUUCUAUUGUCCAAGUAAGCCAAAACUGAGAUAAACAUACUAAUUCCCUUUCAGAACUACAUUCUGUUAUUAAAGAAGGAAGAAACUCAUCAAGGGAAGAAACACCUCUUUCAUAUGUGAAAGCUUUUAAAUCCCUAUUGUAAAAAUUGCUAAUUUACUAAGGCUGUGGCUAUUUACAAAAUCCAUUCAAUUGGAUUUUUUGUUUUGUUUUGGGUACCAGGGAUUGAACUCGGGGACACUCAACCACGGA
Non-coding RNA from Ictidomys tridecemlineatus (thirteen-lined ground squirrel), 1009 nucleotides. The record is from RefSeq and is a predicted model, not a curated record. NCBI's taxonomy places the organism in Eukaryota, Metazoa, Chordata, Mammalia, Rodentia, Sciuridae.